Molecule: ribosomal RNA, 250 nt
Filed under: uncultured bacterium
Lineage: Bacteria
Description: partial 16S ribosomal RNA
Rfam family: Bacterial small subunit ribosomal RNA
Source: RNAcentral
GACAGAGGGUGCAAACGUUGUUCGGAAUUACUGGGCGUAAAGCGCGUGUAGGCGGCUCGGAAAGUCGGGUGUGAAAGCCCUGGGCUCAACCCAGGAAGUGCAUUCGAAACUCCCGAGCUCGAGUCCUGGAGAGGAUGGUGGAAUUCUCGGUGUAGAGGUGAAAUUCGUAGAUAUCGAGAGGAACACCGGUGGCGAAGGCGACCAUCUGGACAGUGACUGACGCUGAGACGCGAAAGCGUGGGGAGCAAAC